GACGAACGCUGGCGGCGUGCUUAACACAUGCAAGUCGAACGGAAAGGCCCUGCUUGCCGGGUACUCGAGUGUCGAACGGGUGAGUAACACGUGUGUGAUCUGCCCUUCACUUCGGGAUAAGCCUGGUAAACUGGGUCUAUUACCGGAUAGGAUCCAUUUUUAGUGUUAUGGUUUGAAAGUUUUUUCGGUGUAGGAUGAGCGCGCGGCCUAUCAGCUUGUUGGUGGUGUAAUGGCCUACCACGGCGGCGACGGGUAGCCGGCCUGAGAGGGUGGACGGCGACAAUGGGACUGAGGGACGGCCCAGAAGCCAACGGGAGGCAGUAGUGGGGAAUAUUGCACAAUGGGCGCAAGCCUGAUGCAGCGAUGUCGCGAGGGGGAUGACGGGCUUCGGGUUGUAAACUCCUGUCGCUAGGGACGAAGCUUUUUGUGACGGUACCUAGAUAAGAAGCACCGGCUAACUACGUG
Molecule: ribosomal RNA, 465 nt
Filed under: uncultured bacterium
Lineage: Bacteria
Description: partial 16S ribosomal RNA
Rfam family: Bacterial small subunit ribosomal RNA
Source: RNAcentral